AGGAGGAACAACCCCAGUGGCGGGGCCAGCUCUGGAGCCCUGGAGUCAGCCUCCGCAGUAACUCCGGAGCUCUCCGUCUGCAGGGCCUGGAGGCUCCGGGGCGGG
Canis lupus familiaris (dog) is the source of this 105-nucleotide non-coding RNA. Lineage: Eukaryota; Metazoa; Chordata; Mammalia; Carnivora; Canidae. The record is from Rfam.